RNAcentral lists this ribosomal RNA (279 nucleotides) under uncultured bacterium. RNAcentral describes it as "partial 16S ribosomal RNA". It matches the Rfam family "Bacterial small subunit ribosomal RNA", at positions 506 to 784 of the family's 1533-position model. The record is from RNAcentral.
UGCCAGCCGCCGCGGUAAUACGGAGGGGGCGAGCGUUAUUCGGAAUUACUGGGCGUAAAGGGUGCGUAGGCGGCCCAUCAAGUUAGACGUGAAAGCCCCGGGCUCAACCUGGGAAUUGCGUUUAAUACUGGUGAGCUAGAGUACGAGAGAGGAAAGUGGAAUUCCGAGUGUAGGGGUGAAAUCCGUAGAUAUUCGGAGGAACACCAGUGGCGAAGGCGGCUUUCUGGACCGAUACUGACGCUGAGACGCGAAAGCGUGGGGAGCAAACAGGAUUAGAUA